RNAcentral lists this ribosomal RNA (253 nucleotides) under uncultured bacterium. RNAcentral describes it as "partial 16S ribosomal RNA". It matches the Rfam family "Bacterial small subunit ribosomal RNA", at positions 524 to 776 of the family's 1533-position model. The record is from RNAcentral.
UACAGAGACUGCAAGCGUUAUUCGGAUUCACUGGGCGUAAAGGGCGCGCAGGCGGCCGCGCAAGUCGAGUGUGAAAGCCCCGAGCUUAACUUGGGAAUUGCGCUCGAAACUACGUGGCUGGAGUGUGGCAGAGGAAGGUGGAAUUCCACGUGUAGCGGUGAAAUGCGUAGAGAUGUGGAGGAACACCGAUGGCGAAGGCAGCCUUCUGGGCCAACACUGACGCUCAUGCACGAAAGCGUGGGGAGCAAACAGG